ACGCACGCUAGCGGCGUGCUUAACACAUGCAGGUCGAACGGAAAGGCCCUGCUUUUGUGGGGUGCUCGAGUGGCGAACGGGUGAGUAACACGUGAGUAACCUGCCCUUGACUUUGGGAUAACUUCAGGAAACUGGGGCUAAUACCGGAUAGGAGCUCCUGCUGCAUGGUGGGGGUUGGAAAGUUUCGGCGGUUGGGGAUGGACUCGCGGCUUAUCAGCUUGUUGGUGGGGUAGUGGCUUACCAAGGCUUUGACGGGUAGCCGGCCUGAGAGGGUGACCGGCCACAUUGGGACUGAGAUACGGCCCAGACUCCUACGGGAGGCAGCAGUGGGGAAUAUUGCACAAUGGGCGGAAGCCUGAUGCAGCAACGCCGCGUGCGGGAUGACGGCCUUCGGGUUGUAAACCGCUUUCGCCUGUGACGAAGCGUGAGUGACGGUAAUGGGUAAAGAAGCACCGGCUAACUACGUG
Molecule: ribosomal RNA, 467 nt
Filed under: uncultured bacterium
Lineage: Bacteria
Description: partial 16S ribosomal RNA
Rfam family: Bacterial small subunit ribosomal RNA
Source: RNAcentral